AAGCAGGAAAAAUGAGCCGAGGAUACAAUAGCAGCACUACUAUGGAGACGAAAUGAUUCUGUUCAAAACCAAUCGGCGUCAAGUUAAGGAAAACGCAUCGAUACGUAACCCCUCCGUGCUGGGCUUUAUCCUGCCUUCACCCCAGCGUCCGCUCGCUUUUCCUGCGAGCACUGCAGCUGAGACCGGCUCUACCCAAAGAAAACGAGGGUCAGGUGAGGAGAAAACUAGUUAAAGUAGGGUGAAAGCAGUUAACGCUGUAAAUUUGGAACUGUUGUCUACUGAGAGCUGCUGUGGGUUUAUUAUUCAGCAAGCCUCGUGUCUGCACUCCGCAUAUAUCCUCGCUGACAGGGAGGAACGCCUGCUCCUGAAAACGGUUCUCACACACUGAGACAAACACUGACAGCCGCUGAAGACUCUGAAGACGUGUCGGAAACUCGGAUUGAGCUUUUCUGCUUAUAAAUUUUGGAGCUUUCCAGGGAAAAUAAACUUUUCUGUACAGAUAAAUGUACCUGCACUGUGACUCUUUGCAGUCACACUGAUCCAGUUUGGUUAGGCAUCUUCUGGAAAAUUACGAGACAUAAAAUUGUACAAAUUGAAAUCAGAAAAGGUUGGGACAGUGUGGGAAAAAUGCAAAUAAAUAAUAAAAACAUUGUUUCUGAAGAUUGUUCUUAAUCCCAUAAACUGUUUUGUUUUUGUCUUAUACCCUCAAUCUCAGGUUAGAGUCAAGCUUGAUCGAUUUCAAUGCUUCUGUCUGAGGUAAUGUUAAUUAAAAACUGAACUUUUGUUCUAUAUAUUGUUUACUGUG
Molecule: long non-coding RNA, 805 nt
Organism: Astyanax mexicanus (Mexican tetra)
Lineage: Eukaryota; Metazoa; Chordata; Actinopteri; Characiformes; Acestrorhamphidae
Exons: 3
Source: RefSeq, a predicted model, not a curated record